AGCUCCAGUAGCGUAUAUAAAAGUUGUUGCAGUUGAAAAGCUCGUAGUUGGAUUUCUGGCUUGGAACGACUGGCCCGCUGCGGUUACGUAGUGAGUGCCGGCUCGAUCCAGCCAUCCUUCCGGGGAACGUGCCUGCCCUUCAUUGGGUUGGGUACGGAACUCGGAUCGUUUACUUUGAAAAAAUUAGAGUGUUCAAAGCAGGCCUACGCCUUGAAUACAUUAGCAUGGAAUAAUGACAUAGGACUUUGGUUCUAUUUUGUUGGUUUCUAGGACUAAAGUAAUGAUUGAUAGGGAUAGUUGGGGGUGCUAGUAUUGUACGGCCAGAGGUGAAAUUCUUGGAUUCGUGCAAGACUAACUUAUGCGAAAGCAUUCACCAAGGAUGUCUUCUUUAAUCAAGAAC
RNAcentral lists this ribosomal RNA (400 nucleotides) under phytoplankton environmental sample. RNAcentral describes it as "partial small subunit ribosomal RNA". It matches the Rfam family "Eukaryotic small subunit ribosomal RNA", at positions 587 to 984 of the family's 1831-position model. The record is from RNAcentral.